GUGCCAGCAGCCGCGGUAAUACCAGCUCCGCGAGUGGUCUGGGCUUUUAUUGGGCCUAAAGCGCCCGUAGCCGGCCUGGUAAGUUCGUGUCUAAAUACCGAGGCUCAACCUCGGAAAUGGUGCGAAUACUACCAGGCUAGGGGGCGAGAGAGGCUGGGAGUACUCCUGGAGUAGGGGCGAAAUCCGUAGAUCCCAGGAGGACUACCAGUGGCGAAGGCGCCCAGCUAGAGCGCGCCCGACGGUGAGGGGCGAAAGCCGGGGCAGCAAACCGGAUUAGAUACCCGGGUAGUCCCGGCCGUAAACUAUGCGGACUAUGUGUCAGGUGGGCUUAGGGUCCACCUGGUGCAACAGGGAAGUCCUUUAAGUCCGCCGCCUGGGGAGUACAGCCGCAAGGCCGAAACUUAAAGGAAUUGGCGGGGGAGCACCACAAGGGGUGGAACCUGCGGCUCAAUUGGAGUCAACACCUGGAAUCUCACCGGGGGAGACCGCAGAAUGACGGCCAGGCUGACGACCUUGCCAGACUCGCGGAGAGGAGGCGCAUGGCCGUCGCCAGCUCGUGUUGUGAAAUGUCCGGUUAAGUCCGGCAACGAGCGAGACCCCCACCCCUAGUUGCUACUCUGGCCUCCGGGCUGGAGGCACACUAGGGGGACUGCCGGCGUUUAAGCCGGAGGAAGGAGGGGGCCACGGCAGGUCAGCAUGCCCCGAAACUCCCGGGCCGCACGCGGGUUACAAUGGUAGGGACAGCGGGAAUCCAAACCCGAAAGGGGGAGGCAAUCCCUUAAACCCUGCCUCAGUUGGGAUCGAGGGCUGAAACUCGCCCUCGUGAACGAGGAAUCCUUAGUAACCGCACGUCAACAACGUGCGGUGAAUACGUCCCUGCUCCUUGCACACACCGCCCGUCACUCCACCCGAGCGGGGGAGGGGUGAGGCUCUCUGCUUCGGUGGGGAGUCGAACUUCUUUCCUGCAAGGGGGGAGAAGUCGUAACAAGGUAGCCGUAGGGGAACCUGCGGCUGGAUCACCUCCUU
This 1026-nucleotide ribosomal RNA is filed under the name uncultured archaeon. Its description in RNAcentral is "bacterial SSU rRNA". It matches the Rfam family "Archaeal small subunit ribosomal RNA", at positions 455 to 1478 of the family's 1478-position model. The record is from RNAcentral.